Molecule: ribosomal RNA, 666 nt
Filed under: uncultured bacterium
Lineage: Bacteria
Description: bacterial SSU rRNA
Rfam family: Bacterial small subunit ribosomal RNA
Source: RNAcentral
AGAGUUUGAUCCUGGCUCAGGAUGAACGCUAGCGGCAGGCCUAAUACAUGCAAGUCGAACGGUGAUAGUAAUAUCAUAGUGGCGCACGGGUGCGUAACACGUAUGCAACCUACCUUAUACUUAGGGAUAGCCUUUGGAAACGGAGAUUAAUACCUGAUGGUACAGUUGACUUGGCAUCGAGUUACUGUUAAAGAUUUAUUGGUAUAAGAUGGGCAUGCGUCCAAUUAGUUAGUUGGUGAGGUAAUGGCUCACCAAGACGAUGAUUGGUAGGGGAACUGAGAGGUUAAUCCCCCACACUGGCACUGAGAUACGGGCCAGACUCCUACGGGAGGCAGCAGUAGGGAAUAUUGGGCAAUGGAGGCAACUCUGACCCAGCCAUGCCGCGUGCAGGAUGAAGGUGUUAUGCGUUGUAAACUGCUUUUAUAUAGGAAGAAAUAGACCUUGCGAGGUAAGUUGACGGUACUAUAUGAAUAAGCACCGGCUAACUCCGUGCCAGCAGCCGCGGUAAUACGGAGGGUGCAAGCGUUGUCCGGAUUUAUUGGGUUUAAAGGGUGCGUAGGCGGUUUAUUAAGUCAGUGGUGAAAGACGGUCGCUCAACGAUUGCAGUGCCAUUGAUACUGGUAGACUUGAGUGGGAUUGAGGUAGCUGGAAUGGAUAGUGUAGCGG